GCCGGUGUAGCUCAAUGGCUAGAGCACUUGACUGUGGAUCAAGGGGUUAUGGGUUCAAGUCCCGUCGCCGGUA
This 73-nucleotide transfer RNA is filed under the name bacterium. RNAcentral's name for it is "tRNA-His". It matches the Rfam family "tRNA". Rfam says of the family: Transfer RNA (tRNA) molecules are approximately 80 nucleotides in length. The record is from RNAcentral.